This 1924-nucleotide ribosomal RNA is filed under the name Microcaldota archaeon. RNAcentral's name for it is "partial 23S ribosomal RNA". It matches the Rfam family "Archaeal large subunit ribosomal RNA", at positions 1 to 2039 of the family's 2987-position model. Lineage: Archaea; Nanobdellati; Microcaldota. The record is from RNAcentral.
GCUUGCAUAAUCAUAAACCGUCUAGGGGAUGGCUUGGCUAUAGCAGCGAAGAAGGCCGUGGCAAGCUGCGAUAAGCCUGGGGUAGUCGCAAGUCAGACUUUGAACCCAGGAUCGCCUUAAUUGUGCAGAAAUGCAUGCAAACGCGGGGAACUGAAAUGACUUAGUACCCGCAGGAAAAGAAAGAAAUAUCGAUGUGGCUAAUAACGCGAGUGAACGCCACAGAGGGCAACCUGAAUCCUGUUUUGCAAAAAACACGGAGAUGUGGUGUGGGAGAAUCCAAUGUAUGAGCUGAAGGUUCUGGAAAGAACCGCCAUAGAGAGUGACAGCCUCGUAAGUUAAGUUAGUUGGAAGGUACCACGAUGAAGAGUAAUUCUUUUUGAGUAUGAAGAAUGAAGAUGGGUGCAUUAAAACCCAACCCUAAACAUUGGCUAUAGACCGAUAGUGAACAAGUAGCGUGAGCGAAAGCUGAAAAGAACCCACACGCGUGGGAUUGAAAAGAUCUGAAACUAGAUGGUGAAACGAAGGUAAGGCAUGGAAGUUAUGAGGUAUGGUGAAGCUGAAGCCCGAAAGGGCCAUGCGAACCGUAAGGAACAAUGUCUUAUCAUUCUUCUUGAAGCAAGAGCCAGGGAGUGUAUAUGAGUGGCGAGUCGAAAGACGCAGCGAAAGCGAGUGCGCGCACUAUAGGAGGCGCAGGGUAUGAAAAUGCCUAAGUCACUUGUAUACGACCCGAAGCCGUUGUGAACUACGCGCGACCAAGGCGAAGCUAGAUUAACGUCUGGUGGAGGCCUGCAACCUGUCAUGGCAUGUCCUGUUGGGUGAGUUGCGGGUAGCGGCGAUAUACCACUCGAACACGGCAAUAGCGGGUCCCCUCUGAAGUAUCUUUAGGAUAGCUCCGGGCGAGUUUGCACAUGCGGUAGAGCUACCGACUGAUUGGCAAGGGGUCGAGAGGCCCCACCAAUCUAUCAAACUCCGAAUGUAUGUGCUGCGUAGACCCCGGGAGUCGACGAGUUUGGGUAAGCCAGACCCGUGAGACUGCAAAGAUAGUGACUAAGGUUAAGGUCCCCAAAUCCUAAUUAAGUGUCUUAAAAGUAGGAAAGGCCACAGACAGCUGGGAGGUAGGCUCAGAAGCAGCCACCCUUUAAAAAACGCGUCAUAGCGUACCAGUAGAGGCUUUUCUUGCUGAAGAUAUACGGGGCUAAAUUAGGUACCGAGACCCUAGAGAUUGAAUAAAUCUGGUAAGAGGGCGUUUGGCACGUCAAGAAGUACGUCCGAAAGGACGUAUGGAACGUGUCAUAGGGAAAAUCCUGGUAUUAGUAACAGCAUAUAUGGGUGAGAAUCCCAUACACCGAAAGCACAAGGUUUUCUUCGCAACGCUCGUCAGCGGAGAGUUAGUCGAUCCUAAGGCUAAUGCUAAUCACACUUAGCCAAAAGGGAAGCGCGUUAAUAUUCGUGCACCUAGAAUGUAGGAGUGGCAACACAAGGCAAAUUUCUGACGCUUGGGGAUAGGUCCGCAAGGAAGUGCAAAGGGCUGCAGAGUCUCGUUAUGAGGAGAAGCAGCUAAAUGAACUAUGGACUGAAUUCCUGAGCCCGUGAAAAGGGAAUCUGCAACGAUCAUUCUAGCUCGUACCUAGAACCAGUAAAGGUGCUGCUGGCUGAAGAAGCCAAGGUGUGGCGGGGUAACCCGUGUUAGGGAAAUCGGCAAAAUAGUGGCGUAAGAUACCAAGAAGCCAUGUCUGCGUAUAGGAUAUGCAGAUAUCAUUGACUAGGGAACGACAACUGUUUAUCAAAAACACAACUCACCGCAAAGCGGAAACGCUAAGUACAGUGGGUGACGCCUGCUCACCGCCAGUACGUGAAAGCCCUUUUCAAGGGGAAGAAGCGCUGGCAAAGAGCGGGAGUAACUCUGACUCUCUUGAGGUAGCGU